RNAcentral lists this small RNA (88 nucleotides) under Lachnospiraceae bacterium M18-1. RNAcentral describes it as "GA-cis RNA". It matches the Rfam family "GA-cis RNA". The record is from Rfam by way of RNAcentral. Lineage: Bacteria; Bacillati; Bacillota; Clostridia; Lachnospirales; Lachnospiraceae.
GUGAGGAGAAAGGCAGAUGCGGAGUAUUUCUUUUUAUACCUUUCGAUGACCUGCCCUCGCACCGCAGGUGAGGGGGGCGCCGCAUUAU